GACGAACGCUGGCGGCGUGCCUAACACAUGCAAGUCGAACGGAACUGUUUUGAAAGAUUUCUUCGGAAUGAAUUUGAUUUAGUUUAGUGGCGGACGGGUGAGUAACGCGUGAGUAACCUGCCUUCAAGAGGGGGAUAACAUUCUGAAAAGAAUGCUAAUACCGCAUGACAUAUCGGAACCACAUGGUUUUGAUAUCAAAGAUUUUAUCGCUUGAAGAUGGACUCGCGUCCGAUUAGUUAGUUGGUGAGGUAACGGCUCACCAAGACCGCGAUCGGUAGCCGGACUGAGAGGUUGAACGGCCACAUUGGGACUGAGACACGGCCCAGACUCCUACGGGAGGCAGCAGUGGGGGAUAUUGCGCAAUGGGGGCAACCCUGACGCAGCAACGCCGCGUGAAGGAUGAAGGUUUUCGGAUUGUAAACUUCUUUUAUUAAGGACGAAACUUGACGGUACUUAAUGAAUAAGCUCCGGCUAACUACGUGCCAGCAGCCGCGGUAAUACGUAGGGAGCAAGCGUUGUCCGGAUUUACU
RNAcentral lists this ribosomal RNA (530 nucleotides) under uncultured bacterium. Its description in RNAcentral is "bacterial SSU rRNA". It matches the Rfam family "Bacterial small subunit ribosomal RNA", at positions 28 to 555 of the family's 1533-position model. The record is from RNAcentral.